RNAcentral lists this small RNA (2295 nucleotides) under Pongo abelii (Sumatran orangutan). Its description in RNAcentral is "processed transcript". The record is from RNAcentral. Lineage: Eukaryota; Metazoa; Chordata; Mammalia; Primates; Hominidae.
GGCCUAGCCUCUGUGGCGCUGUGAUCUGGUUAUUGGGAGAUUCACAGCUAAGACGCCAGGAUGCCCCAGAAGCCUAGAAAUGCUCUGUGUUCUCAUUUUGCCCAAGACCUUUGGCUAGAGCAGAACAUAAAAGACUCUUUCCAAAAAGUGACACUGAGCAGAUAUGGAAAAUAUGGACAUAAGAAUUUACAGUUAAGAAAUGGCUGUAAAAGUGUGGAUGAGUGUAAGGGACACCAAGGAGGUUAUAAUGGACUUAACCAAUGUUUGAAAACUACCUCGAGCAAAAUAUUUCAAUGUAAUAAAUAUGUAAAAGUCAUGCAUAAAUUUUCAAAUUCAAAUAGACACAAGAUAAGACAUACUGAAAAUAAACAUUUCAGAUGCAAAGAAUGUGACAAAUCACUUUGCAUGCUUUCACGCCUAACUCAACAUAAAAGAAUUCAUACUAGAGAGAAUUUCUACAAAUGUGAAGAAUGUGGAAAAACCUUUAACUGGUCCACAAACCUUUCUAAACCUAAGAAAAUUCAUACUGGAGAAAAACCCUACAAAUGUGAAGUAUGUGGAAAAGCCUUUCACCAAUCCUCAAUCCUUACUAAACAUAAGAUAAUUCGUACUGGAGAAAAACCCUAUAAAUGGGCACACUGUGGCAAAGCCUUUAACCAGUCCUCACACCUUACUAGACAUAAUUCAUACUGAAGAGAAAGCCUAAAAAUGUCAACAAUGUGGCAAGGUCUUUAAGCAGUCCCCAACCCUUACUAAACAUCAGAUAAUUUAUACUGGAGAGGAACCAUACAAAUGUGAGGAAUGUGGCAAAACUUUUAACCUAUCUUAACAACUUACUGAACAUAAGAAAAUUUAUACUAGAGAGAAAGCCUACAAAUGUGAAGAAUGUGGCAAAGCCUUUAACCAGUUUUCAACCCUUACUACACAAGAUAAUUCAUAGCGGAGAGAAACCCCACAAAUGUGAAGAAUGUGGCAAAUGAGCCGCAAAGCUCACUGAACAUAAGUUAAUUCAUACUGGAGAAAAACCCUACAAAUGUAAAGAAUGUGGAAAAGCUUUUCACCGAUACUCAAUCCUUAGUACACAUAAGAAAAUUCAUACUGGGGAGAAACCCUACAAAUGUGAAGAAUGUGGAAAAGCCUUUAACCGGUCCUCAACUCUUACUACACAUAAGAUAAUUCACAGUGGAGAAAAACCCUACAAAUGUGAAGAAUGUGGCAAAGCUUUUAACCAAUCCUCACACCUUAUGAGACAUAAGAAAACUCAUAGUAGAGAGAAACCCUACAAAUGUGAACAGUGUGGCAAGGUCUUUAAGAAGUCCUCAACUCUUACUGCAUGUAAGAUCAUUCAUACUGGAGAGGAACCUUACAAAUGUGAGGAAUGUGGCAAAGGUUUUAGCCAACUCUCAAACCUUACUAAACAUAAGAAGAUUCAUACUAGAGAGAAACCCUACAAAUGUGAAGAAUGUGGCAAAUCUUUUAACCAGUUCUCACUUGCUAUACAUAAUUCAUACUUGAAUGAAACCCUACAAAUGUGAACAAUGUGGCAGAUCUUUUAACCAGUUCUCAAACUUUACUAUGCAUAAGAAAGUUCAAACUGGAGAGAAACUCUACAAAUGUGAAGAAUGUGGCAAAGCUUUUAACCAAGUCUCAACACUUACUAUACAUAAGAUAAUUUAUACUGGAGCAAAACCUUGGAAAUUCAAAGAAUGUGGUAAAACUUAACAAUCCUCAAAACUUUCUACACAUAAGAAAAUUCAUGUAGGAGAGAAACCCCACAAAUGUGAAAAAUUUUGUAAAUUCUUUAACCAGUCUUCAACCCUUUCUACACAUAGUAUAAUUCAUACUGGAGAGAAACCCCACAAAUAUGAAGAAUGUGGUAAUGCUUUUUAACCAAUUCUCAAAUCUUACUAAACAAAAGAAGAUUAAUACUGAAAAUGUUACAAACCAGAAAAAUGUGACAAUGAUUUUAACAAAACCUUCAAAUUUUUCUAAACAUAAAGGAAAUCAUACUGGGAAGAAAUUAUAAAAAUGUGAAGAAUGUGACAAAGCCUUUAAAUGGUUGUCACACUUGAUUGUAGGUAAGAUAAUUCAUACUGGUGGAAACUCCCAGAAGUGUGAAGCAUAUGGCAAAACUUUAAUUCCUAUACCUUAUUGCACAGGAAAGCAUUUAUACUUCAGAAAAUAUUGUACUGAUAUAAAGAAUGUGGAAAAGCCAUUAAUAUGUGCUUACAUCUUAUUCAACAUUAGAGAGUUAGUACUUAAUAAAAGCAUUAUAAAUGCAAUUACUGUCAAAAA